GAUGAACGCUGGCGGCGUGCCUAAUACAUGCAAGUCGAGCGAACAGACGAGGAGCUUGCUCCUCUGACGUUAGCGGCGGACGGGUGAGUAACACGUGGAUAACCUACCUAUAAGACUGGGAUAACUUCGGGAAACCGGAGCUAAUACCGGAUAAUAUAUUGAACCGCAUGGUUCAAUAGUGAAAGACGGUUUUGCUGUCACUUAUAGUUGGAUCCGCGCCGCAUUAGCUAGUUGGUAAGGUAACGGCUUACCAAGGCAACGAUGCGUAGCCGACCUGAGAGGGUGAUCGGCCACACUAGAACUGAGACACGGUCCAGACUCCUACGGUAGGCAGCAGUAGGGAAUCUUCCGCAAUGGGCGAAAGCUUGACGGAGCAACGCCGCGUGAGUGAUGAAGGUCUUCGGAUCGUAAAACUCUGUUAUUAGGGAAUAACAAAUGUGUAAGUAACUAUGCACGUCUUGACGGUACCUAAUCAGAAAGCCACGGCUAACUACGUG
RNAcentral lists this ribosomal RNA (497 nucleotides) under uncultured bacterium. RNAcentral describes it as "partial 16S ribosomal RNA". It matches the Rfam family "Bacterial small subunit ribosomal RNA", at positions 28 to 507 of the family's 1533-position model. The record is from RNAcentral.